UGCAUGAUGAGGUCCUCCUUGACCAGCUC
RNAcentral lists this small RNA (29 nucleotides) under Bombyx mori (domestic silkworm). RNAcentral's name for it is "ovarian small RNA-33573". The record is from RNAcentral. Lineage: Eukaryota; Metazoa; Arthropoda; Insecta; Lepidoptera; Bombycidae.